CCUAAAACUAAAUGGCAAGAAACCCUACACCUACCUCUCUCGAUUUGUAUAAGCAGACAACACACCACACAACUCACAACCCUCACAAGCAUCCCUCUAUCUCCCUCUCUCUAAAAAAUCCGGUCACCGGAUUAGGGUUCCGGCGACCCUUCCGGCGCCGCCUUUCCGGUGAGCCACAACCAAACGAACCGGGCACGACCCCCCACCUUUACCACUCUCGUCUCCUCUCCCUUGUCCCACACAAACAACAGCAGCAACACCGCCACUCGACGGCGGCGGUAGAACGGAACGAUGGGCGGCGGUAGAUCGGAACGAUGGGCGGCGACUCGCGAUUCGGGUUUCGAGUUUAAUCGGUUCAGGUCAUCGGAGCUCCGGCCCGGCUGACAACUGCAACGAGUUUAGGUCUCGGUUCAGUUGAAUCGGGUGGCUCGGGAUCGAGCCUGGAUUUGUUUCGGUUCAGCUUCCGUUCUCUUGUUCGAGUCCCGUUCGACCUCAGUCCACUCCGGUCAUCAUACGGCUCGGGUCUCAGGUCAACGGCUCAGUUUUGGCUCGGAAUCGGAGUUUACGUCGGCUCCGAGUCUUCACUGUUUCGGGUGACCUCGGUGUUCCAUCCUCCAAAUCUUUUACGCUCGUCAACACUUGGAUAAUCGGAAGACUUGGCAAUUAUGUGAGUAUACUCGAACCCAUUUUUACUUUUAAACACUUUGGGUGCAACAUCUAUUCUAUAUUAAACGCACGUGACACUUGAAACUUAUUUGAAACAUGAUCUAUCCAUUUAAACAUGAAACAUGAAACUUGUGAUACUUGAGACUAUUUUGUGCUAUGUGAACGUUUAAUCCCUGUGUGUAGUUCCGCCUUAACAAUAGUAGCGCUAUAGGGGUAAUGCACCUCCCCCAUUUGUAGUCGAGGGGUAUUGUUAGGAGGAGACAUAUUAACCUCCCGUGAAACUUUGGGUUAGGUACUUUAAAGCAUUGGAAACUUGGGCUAUCACUUGGACUGCGUAAACUAGCAUGGCUGAAACUAUUUUAUUAUGUUCAUGUUGGAUAUGAGUUUUUAUUCUAUUAUGCUAUGUAAACAAACUUGUAUACUCGCUCUUUGCUUUUGCAUUGAAACUCUAUUUUAAUACAUGUUGCAGGUUGAUUAUUGAAGUAUGGAUGAUUGAUGAAACAAUUUAGGGUGGCUAGAUACACACCUAAAUUUAUCUAUCUUUUGUUGUUAUGUUAUUUGUUGAAACAAUGUUGUUAUUUCCUUUUGAAUAUUGUGUAAGAUUUAGUUUUGAAAUGAAAUUUGAAUUUAAUUAAAUAUUGUCACAUAGUGUUAUGACGCCUCUAGCAAUCUUUACACACUUCGUCUCAUCCCGAUGUUUCCGCCAUCGGUUGGGGUGUGACAGAUUGGUAUCAGAGCCAUAACUAUAGGGAAUUAGGAAAAGUAGGAAUGCUUUAACCUAGUCUAUAGUUUUAGAGCUUUAUUCGUAUGUUUUACUUGAAACUACUUGCAUGCUACUUUAUUUGCCUUAUUUAUUCUCUUAUGAUCUUUUAAACAUAUGUGUCACUUAUGUGUUAAUACUUGACAUGCCAUCCUUAUGUGUUAAUAUUUGUUUCAUUGUGUGUUAAUGCUUGUCUAUUCUGUUCGAUACUUGUUGUAUUAUGUGUUGAUACUUGUUUUAUUGUCCUAAUCCUUAUGUGUUACUCUCGACAUGCCUUCUUAUGUGUUUAUGCUUGUUCGUUUGUCCUUUUAACAUACGCUCUCCCUAAGGCAUUUUACUCGAUUUUUCUUAAACUCGAAAACACUCAUAUUAUACAAAAGUGACGAGUUUACCAAAAUAGGCGUGAAACCCACAAUUUGGUAAACAACUCUCAUCCCGCUUGAUUUCAUUUUGUUGCACGAAAUUCCACCAGUAAGUUAGGAGUGAAAUCCACAUCUUAAUGGAAAUUUCAAAUUUCAAAUUUCAAAUUCAAUUUCUAGUGGACCCUCGUUAACGUGUCGAAAUUAAAUUUCGACCCAACGAGUACCAACCACACUUAGGGCAUGAACUCGUCAAGCUAGGGGUGAAACCCGCACCUAGUCGACUAGUCCCACUCCUUGAUUUUACAUAAAUCUCGCCAAGUCUCGAAUUUUCGAUUGAAUUGGGGCAUGUAGUAACCGGAAGGGUGAAUACCGUUAACCGACUUGUCGGCGAGAGUAUACCAUCUAUUAGGCCAAAGCAUGCUCUUCAAUUUCGAAUGACCUUUCGACCACUUUGGUUAGUCAACGUUCCGUUUUGGAACCAUCCAAGUCUCUUUUAUCGAACUUACGCCUUAUUAUUUUCGAUCUUUUAUGAUGAAAUUCUCUCUUGUCAAUUUUGAACUAUUUGUGAGAUUUCACUUUUGCGCAUACAUCAUACUAUUACUUUUCAUACGAUUACGCAUUAUUAGCAUGCAUAAUUUCUCGUAAUUUUAUUUACAUUUUUCUUUUUGUAACAACAAGUGGAGACAUAUCGUCGAGAUAGGAGUGAUUUCCUUACCUUGACGAUUAACUGCGCUUCUUUUUCUCAUCUUACAACGACCUCACCAAUGGGUUAGGGGUGAUUCCCUUACCUAGGUGAUCAUUACCGAUACUUUCUUUUAAUAGACUAUGUUAUGUAAACGCGAUCAUUUAUACAUCUAAAUCGAUUAUCAUUAGUCAAAUCUCUAAUUAUUUCAAAAUGCAUUGUUUAUAUGAAUGAACUUCUUAUCCUACAAUCUAUAUUUUCAUAUAGCUUACACACGUGAAAUUUUUAACUUUUCCGUAGACACUUGUUUCUCAAUAUUCAAAACUUUACGAAAUGCUACUCACCAACUUAGUUGGUUUAAUAAAUUCAUUGCCCACAAAAUUUCGUAUUCCGCGUAAUUACUAAAACGCAUUCGUCUUGCAUCAUAUUAUACAAAAGAUUGUUAUUUUUCAAUUGAUAAUCAAACCAACUUUUCAUACAAAAUAUUACAAAUAUUAUCCGAUCGUUUAUCGAAACUCUUUCCAAGAUCAUAAAAAAAAAAGAAACAUUUUAUUAAGGACACCUUUCACGAUCACUAAGUUCAUAUACCAAAUUCUUUUUUUCUAAGGAUUAAAUUUUUCACAAGAAUCUUGUAAACUUCAAAAUUUUCUAAUACAAAGUUAUUUAAAGCGAUGCGAACUUGUUAACCCCUAGAAUUUUUUUUCAAAACCGCACUCGAUAAGCCAAUUAAAUUCAAAACACGUGGGCAAGGAAACUUCAUAAGAACCAACAAAUUUUCAACUUAUGUAAACUCUUUUAAAAUCGUAGUAGUAUUUCCAUUCUUUUACAAAGUACGUUUCACGUAACCGAUAGCUGUUUUAUACCUCCUUACAUGCACAAACUAGAUUCUACAUCCCACGACAACUCAAUCUAUUUUAACUUCACGUUUUGCGCAAACAACUAUAUAUGCAUAUCAUUUUACCCGUUUUAGUCAAUGUCUCACAGCAAUCUCGCGCGUGUCACUCGUUUCCUUUUUCUUUCAUACUCAAGGUUUUAAUCUUUUACGCACAUAAACUUGUGUAUUUCGAUUUAUACUAUAAACAAAUCAGUAUUUCCUACAUCCAUGUUUAUGCAUUUUAUGCCUUCACUUAUGUUCACACUUACACAUUUAUGUAUUACUCAUGGUUCAAAAUUUAUACGUUUUACGUUUAUACACACACUCACAAUUAUACAUUUACAUUGUCCUUACAUUCAUGUCUAUACUACAUUCAUAUUCACGUUCAUACAUUUUAUGUUUUCAUUUACACUUGUACAACUCUGUUACGCUUAUAUUCGUACAUAUAUAUAUAUUAUUCAUACUUAAACCUUCAUGUUUUACACCUAUGUUCCCGUUCAUAUCUAUGCUCAUACAUCUUAUGUUCACACUUAUAGUCGUAUUCGUACUCAUACGCUUUGUGUUUAUACUCACAUUUAUACUUUUUUUUGUACACGUUAUGCUUAUACUUUUACUCAUACCCCUGACAUGCGUUUUGUGUUUAUGCUCAUGUGCGUGAUCACGUUUGAACUUAUGCUAUGCUCAUGCUUUUUACUCAAAAUUUAUACUUUCGCGCCUAUACGCGAGCGAAACCCGAGGGAUUCGCUUACGUUGGUCUUAUACUAUUUGGAACGCAAACAUACUUAUAUGUUACAUUUUUUUUCAUUCACAUGCGAUCUUAUUUUCAAGAUUUAUGUAUACCGUAAUUCAUACGCAACUAGUACAAGCUAUGCGGAUCAGGCGACGAUUGAUGUAAUCGCGGGUGCACACGGGAUUAUAGUAAUCGGCGUAUGAGAAUCAUAGAGUGUACUACUGCGUAUGAUAAGACACAGAACGUAUCAUGACACCGAGUACGAAACAGACGUAACACGGUUGAAACAUGGUGGAUACGCCGCUGGUACUUCCUAUAUAUAAGUGUUUUCACCAUGUUACCAAACUUUCGUGAAAACGUGCCAUGAGAGAUUCAGUGUUUUGUAGACCUUUGGACCUAAUUCAAACCUUAAACAACUCACGAACGCCUUAUAACCGAUUAUCCACGACGAGACUCAAUUCUUAGCGCACUACUUUUGUCUAUCCGAUACGUAUGACAUUCUUAUACUUGUAAUCACUUAUUAGAUCAAUCGUUCACCCUUACAUCUCCGUUAUUCUCCGUUAUUCAUACAAGCCUUAAUUUUAAACGAAUCUCUUCUCUUUGCCAAAAUCCUUUCAAGUCUUGCUCCUGAAUAAAUUUCGGGACGAAAUUUCCUAAAGGAGGGGAGACUGUAACGCUCCGCGUUUUCAUAACUUUCCAUAUUUAGAAAACCGUUGUUCAUGUUCCUUUUUUUUUGGAAACUUCAUAUCCUUGUGUUUGUCGUCUCGCUUUAAAAAAAAAUGAUUAUUUAUUUAUAGUUUAGUUAUUUAAAAUACAUUGAGUUCACUAUUUAAAAGUUUUCUUCUAUAAUAAAUUUAGUUAGUCGUUAACUUUUAAAGUUAGCCAAAUAACAAAAUAACCUAGUUAGUUUGGUCAACUACGUUUUAUAACUUAAACUAAGUUAUUUCAGCUAAUUAGUUGACCUUUCAAAGUUGAGGGACUUUAUUAGUCUUUUACUAAAACUAAAUGGCAAGAAACCCUACACCUACCUCUCUCGAUUUGUAUAAGCAGACAACACACCACACAACUCACAACCCUCACAAGCAUCCCUCUAUCUCCCUCUCUCUAAAAAAUCCGGUCACCGGAUUAGGGUUCCGGCGACCCUUCCGGCGCCGCCUUUCCGGUGAGCCACAACCAAACGAACCGGGCACGACCCCCCACCUCUACCACUCUCGUCUCCUCUCCCUUGUCCCACACAAACAACAGCAGCAACACCGCCACUCGACGGCGGCGGUAGAACGGAACGAUGGGCGGCGGUAGAUCGGAACGAUGGGCGGCGACUCGCGAUUCGGGUUUCGAGUUUAAUCGGUUCAGGUCAUCGGAGCUCCGGCCCGGCUGACAACUGCAACGAGUUUAGGUCUCGGUUCAGUUGAAUCGGGUGGCUCGGGAUCGAGCCUGGAUUUGUUUCGGUUCAGCUUCCGUUCUCUUGUUCGAGUCCCGUUCGACCUCAGUCCACUCCGGUCAUCAUACGGCUCGGGUCUCAGGUCAACGGCUUAGGUUUGGCUCGGAAUCGGAGUUUACGUCGGAUCCGAGUCUUCACUGUUUCGGAUAACACUCUCGUCCGUUCUCUUGGACUCCCGUUUACUCAUGCACCGUCGUUUACCCAUGUAGGGUGACUUCGGUGUUCCAUCCUCCAAAUCUUUUACGCUCGUCAACACUUGGAUAAUCGGAAGACUUGGCAAUUAUGUUGAUUAUUGAAGUAUGGAUGAUUGAUGAAACAAGUUUAGGGUGGCUAGAUACACACCUAAAUUUAUCUAUCUUUUGUUGUUAUGUUAUUUGUUGAAACAAUGUUAUUAUUUCCUUUUGAAUAUUGUGUAACAUUUAGUUUUGAAAUGAAAUUUGAAUUUAAUUAAAUAUUGUCACAUAGUGUUAUGACGUCUCUAGCAAUCUUUACACACUUCGUCUCAUCCCGAUGUUUCCGCCAUCGGUUGAGGUGUGACCAUUAAGGCAUUGAUUUGACGGAGUUAGGUAACUGACAUAGUGGCUUAUAGAAAGAGCUUAUGAUUCACUCAUGUGACUCAUAUAGGUUUUUUCGUGGUUGGAGUUGUGUGACUAAUCAUAAUGGUAUAAUUUUGAUAACAUGUCAAAUAAGUGCAUUAAAAGACAUGCCAAAUAGGUGCUUAAAAAGACAUACCACAACCAAGGUGUAAAGCGUCCGACUAACAAAGCGAUACAAUAGUUAGCGGUACAACACAAUCUUCCGUUAACAACAUUAGUUUCUAACCAUAUAAGUUAAAACUCAAAACUAAAGUCGAGUAGCAAAAAAAAA
Molecule: long non-coding RNA, 6382 nt
Organism: Helianthus annuus (common sunflower)
Lineage: Eukaryota; Viridiplantae; Streptophyta; Magnoliopsida; Asterales; Asteraceae
Exons: 6
Source: RefSeq, a predicted model, not a curated record